RNAcentral lists this ribosomal RNA (442 nucleotides) under uncultured bacterium. RNAcentral's name for it is "partial 16S ribosomal RNA". It matches the Rfam family "Bacterial small subunit ribosomal RNA", at positions 338 to 795 of the family's 1533-position model. The record is from RNAcentral.
CCUACGGGUGGCAGCAGUGGGGAAUAUUGGGCAAUGGGCGCAAGCCUGACCCAGCAACGCCGCGUGAAGGAAGAAGGCUUUCGGGUUGUAAACUUCUUUUGUCAGGGAAGAGUAGAAGACGGUACCUGACGAAUAAGCCACGGCUAACUACGUGCCAGCAGCCGCGGUAAUACGUAGGUGGCAAGCGUUGUCCGGAUUUACUGGGUGUAAAGGGCGUGUAGCCGGGUUGACAAGUCAGAUGUGAAAUCCCCGCGCUCAACGUGGGAACUGCCUUUGAAACUGGCAAACUGGAGUGUGUGAGAGGAUAGUGGAAUUCCAGGUGUAGGAGUGAAAUCCGUAGAUAUCUGGAGGAACAUCAGUGGCGAAGGCGACUAUCUGGCACAUAACUGACGCUGAGGAGCGAAAGCGUGGGUAGCAAACAGGAUUAGAUACCCGAGUAGUC